RNAcentral lists this ribosomal RNA (629 nucleotides) under Vishniacozyma victoriae. Its description in RNAcentral is "partial large subunit ribosomal RNA". It matches the Rfam family "Eukaryotic large subunit ribosomal RNA", at positions 40 to 658 of the family's 3401-position model. Lineage: Eukaryota; Fungi; Basidiomycota; Tremellomycetes; Tremellales; Bulleribasidiaceae. The record is from RNAcentral.
AUAUCAAAUAAGCGGAGGAAAAGAAACUAACUAGGAUUCCCUUAGUAACGGCGAGUGAACCGGGAUGAGCUCAAAUUUAAAAUCUGGCGUCUUUCAGGCGUCCGAGUUGUAAUCUAUAGAGGCGUUUUCCGCGCCGGACCGCGUCCAAGUCUCUUGGAAUAGAGUAUCAAAGAGGGUGACAAUCCCGUACUUGACGCGACAACCGGUGCUCUGUGAUACGUUCUCAAUGAGUCGAGUUGUUUGGGAAUGCAGCUCUAAAUGGGUGGUAAAUUCCAUCUAAGGCUAAAUAUUGGCGAGAGACCGAUAGCGAACAAGUACCGUGAGGGAAAGAUGAAAAGCACUUUGGAAAGAGAGUUAAACAGCACGUGAAAUUGUUAAAAGGGAAACGAUUGAAGUCAGUCGUGUGAAAGGUAUUCAGCCGUCUCUGGCGGUGUAUUUGCCUUUCACGGGUCAACAUCAGUUUGAUCCGGUAGAAAAAGGCAGGAGGAAGGUGGCACCCUCGGGUGUGUUAUAGCCUCUUGUCAUAUGUGCCGGACCAGACUGAGGAACGCAGCUUGCCGCAAGGCCGGGGUUCGCCCACGUACAAGCUUAGGAUGUUGACAUAAUGGCUUUAAACGACCCGUCUUGAA